This is a non-coding RNA of Solanum lycopersicum (tomato), 1677 nucleotides long. Lineage: Eukaryota; Viridiplantae; Streptophyta; Magnoliopsida; Solanales; Solanaceae. The record is from RefSeq and is a predicted model, not a curated record.
CCAACAAGAAAAGGACCAACAAUGCAAUACUUAAUUGUACAUGCUCUGUCAGAUAUACUGUUGCUAAGUGCACUAUAAAGUUGGGCCUUUCUUUUAUCCUUUUAAUAGUAAACAUGAGUAUAACUCUUCCUUUUACAUGUGUACUGGUAAUUUUCUUUUCAUGAGAUAAAUUCAUUUCUCUUUCUUCCCUCAUUCAUAAAUAAAAAUAAAGAAACUGAUUCAUCUUCCUUCUUUCCUCUAGUAUCUCACCGGAUGUUAUCUUCAUUCUCCUCUCAAUCGAUAAUUUUCUUCCUCCAUCCUCUUAACUAAGAUUUUUAGAUGAAUGAUGAGUGUAUAUAACUUUUUUACAUGAUUUCUCUUUCUAGAAUUAUACAAUGUUCAUCUUAAUGAUUCUCAAAUCUAAUUCGUUCUUUUUCUAAUAUUGAGGAAUUUAUGUUCAAAUUCGAACUAUUUAUAUUUUUGAGGUUUUAAAAAAAUUUCUUUAUUAUUGAACUUUUAUUGUCUGUAAUGGUCAUUUGUUUUUCGGUCAUUUGUUAUACUUAUUCAUGUUUGGAUUUAGGUAGUGAGAUGCAAUUUUUAUGGAUGAUUUUGAAUCCAAACUCAAAGAUAAUGGACCAUUUUAGAUAUUUUCUCUUCCAUUUCCUUUUCAGGUUAAGAGUUGGUUGGUGCAACAAUGGUGUUUGCUGAUAUGCUUGAACCAAAUAAAAGAUUUUUCAGUAUUUUUACUUGUAGAUUUUCUGCAAAAUAUUUCUCAAUCAAUUCUAACGAUUUUGAUUUUGUAUUUUUUUUCUUUGGCUUUUAAUGGUAUCUAAGUUGUUAUGAUAGAAGAUAAAUGAAGAUUAUUAUAGUACUUUUACAUAGUAAAAGAUACCUACUUUUCUAAUAAAACUUUUUGUGUUUUAGUGAUUGAUUGAAAAAGCAUUGGCAUAUUUGAUGAGAGAAGAGGAAAAUUUAACAAAGAUAUUAGAGAUAUUGGAGUACAGACGUCACCCUUGACAAUGUUGGCUUCCUUCCCUUCAUAGCAAGGCGAUGAUGAGUCCAAUAUGGCUACCAAUUAACUGGAAAAAUAAAGGGCUCACCUGCUCAAAUUUACUAAUAAUGAGUUAAGGGAGUAUUAACUUGAGUUUGUUGGUCAAUUUGAAAGACUUGUUGGUGCUAUUGCAAGAAGUAUGGAUGCAAUGUUCUGAAUGUCUGUCGAUAAGAGUGAUCUUCAAAUUUUAAGAAUGAUCGCACACAAGUUUGUUGAAGGAGACACACACUGUGAGUAAUUUGAGCAAAUCACGUAUGCACACAAAUUCAGCUAAAAGUAGUAAAAGAUCCUUAAAAUGGUGACUUUUGCCAAAUCGAAGAAUUCUUUGAAGCGCGCUGAAGGAAACAAAUUUUGCAAUCAUCUUGCUUUGGUGAUGGUGCGAGAAAAUUUGCGAAAGUUAUGCUUUUUCGGUUCCAUUAUUCGAAUGAUCAAAUUGUCCAAAACAGAAAUGCAUCUGACAUCAACAUAAAGUUAAUAUGGCUUUGAAUUGCCAAACGAGUUUUGAAUCAAAAAGUAUUGUAUUAGAUGGCUUAUCUUUGAUCUGUUGGAAAAGAGCAUGUUAUAUUAUAGAAGAUAAAGCAUCAUGUAUUAAUUUGCAAGAAAAAAAAUACUUAAUAUGAAUCACUCAAAGAAGCUUCUUAUUCAUA